GCCGGGGCACGGUGGUGUGUGCCUGUAGUCCCAGCUACUCACAAGGCUGAGGUGGGAGGAUCGCUUGAGCCCAGGAGUUCUGGGCUAUAGUGCGCUAUGCCGAUUGGGUGUCCGCACUAAGUUCGGCAUCAAUAUGGUGACCUCCCGGGAGCAAGGGACCACCAAGUUGCCUAAGGAGGGGUGAACUGGCCCAGGUCGGAAACAGAGCAGGUCAAAACUCCCAUGCUGAUCAGUAGUGGGAUCACGCCUGUGAAUAGCCACUGCACUCCAGCCUGGGCAACAUAGCAAGACCCCUCUCU
Molecule: signal recognition particle RNA, 299 nt
Filed under: Cebus imitator (Panamanian white-faced capuchin)
Lineage: Eukaryota; Metazoa; Chordata; Mammalia; Primates; Cebidae
Description: Metazoan signal recognition particle RNA (ENSCCAG00000006957.1)
Rfam family: Metazoan signal recognition particle RNA
About the family: The signal recognition particle (SRP) is a universally conserved ribonucleoprotein.
Source: RNAcentral